RNAcentral lists this ribosomal RNA (504 nucleotides) under Semisulcospira gottschei. RNAcentral's name for it is "partial 16S ribosomal RNA". It matches the Rfam family "Bacterial large subunit ribosomal RNA", at positions 1817 to 2597 of the family's 2925-position model. The record is from RNAcentral. Lineage: Eukaryota; Metazoa; Mollusca; Gastropoda; Semisulcospiridae.
GGCUCUUUGCUCACAUAAAUAUAAAGAGUCGAGCCUGCCCAGUGAAUUUUUAACGGCCGCGGUACUCUGACCGUGCAAAGGUAGCAUAAUCAUUUGCCUUAUAAUUGAAGGCUAGUAUGAAUGGUUUGACGAGAGCAAUACUGUCUCCUUUUUAUUUUCAAAAACUUAACUUUUAGGUGAAGAGGCCUAAAUUUUAUUGAAGGACAAGAAGACCCUGUCGAGCUUAAAAGACAUUAUAGGAGUCUAAUAUAUUUUUAAAUAAAUUUUCUAUUAGGCUUUUUAGUUGGGGCGACUAGGGAACAAAAAAAGCUUCUUUCUAAUAAAUAAACAAUCAUGUUUAGAUCCGAUAAUAGCGAUCAAAGAAAUUAGUUACCGCAGGGAUAACAGCAUAAUCUCUCUUAAGAGACCUAAUCGAAAGAGGGGGUUGUGACCUCGAUGUUGGACUAGAAUAUCCUAAAGAUGCAGAAGUCUUUAAGGGUCGGUCUGUUCGACCGUUAAAAUUCU